This 253-nucleotide ribosomal RNA is filed under the name uncultured bacterium. RNAcentral's name for it is "partial 16S ribosomal RNA". It matches the Rfam family "Bacterial small subunit ribosomal RNA", at positions 524 to 776 of the family's 1533-position model. The record is from RNAcentral.
UACAGAGGUCUCAAGCGUUGUUCGGAUUCAUUGGGCGUAAAGGGCGCGUAGGCGGCGGGUCAAGUCGAGUGUGAAAGCCCCGGGCUCAACCUGGGAAUUGCGCUCGAGACUGGUCUGCUUGAGUUCGGGAGAGGAGCGUGGAAUUCCCAGUGUAGAGGUGAAAUUCGUAGAUAUUGGGAAGAACACCGGUGGCGAAGGCGGCGCUCUGGACCGAGACUGACACUGAGGAGCGAAAGCCAGGGGAGCAAACGGG